This 443-nucleotide ribosomal RNA is filed under the name uncultured bacterium. Its description in RNAcentral is "partial 16S ribosomal RNA". It matches the Rfam family "Bacterial small subunit ribosomal RNA", at positions 338 to 795 of the family's 1533-position model. The record is from RNAcentral.
CCUACGGGUGGCAGCAGUGGGGAAUAUUGGGCAAUGGACGCAACUCUGACCCAGCAACGCCGCGUGAAUGAUGAAGGCCUUCGGAUUGUAAAGUUCUUUUCUAAGGGAAGAGGAAAGUGACGGUACCUUAGGAAUAAGCCUGGCCUAACUACGUGCCAGCAGCCGCGGUAAUACGUAGGAGGCAAGCGUUAUCCGGAAUGACUGGGCGUAAAGGGUGCGAGGGUGGUUUGACAAGUUAGUAGCGCAACUCCGGGGCUCAACGCCGGAACUACUACUAAAACUGUUUGACUUGAGUGCAGGAGGGGUAAUCGGAAUUGCUGGUGUAGCGGUGGAAUGCGUAGAUAUUAGGAGGAACACCAGUGGCGAAGGCGGGUUGCUAGACUGUAACUGACACUGAGGCACGAAGGCGAGGGGAGCAAACGGGAUUAGAUACCCCGGUAGUC